This 464-nucleotide ribosomal RNA is filed under the name uncultured bacterium. Its description in RNAcentral is "partial 16S ribosomal RNA". It matches the Rfam family "Bacterial small subunit ribosomal RNA", at positions 28 to 507 of the family's 1533-position model. The record is from RNAcentral.
GACGAACGCUGGCGGCGUGCUUAACACAUGCAAGUCGAACGGUAAGGCCCUUUCGGGGGUACACGAGUGGCGAACGGGUGAGUAACACGUGGGUGAUCUGCCCUGCACUUUGGGAUAAGCCUGGGAAACUGGGUCUAAUACCGGAUAGGACUACGCGAUGCAUGUCGUGUGGUGGAAAGCUUUUGCGGUGUGGGAUGGGCCCGCGGCCUAUCAGCUUGUUGGUGGGGUGAUGGCCUACCAAGGCGACGACGGGUAGCCGGCCUGAGAGGGUGUCCGGCCACACUGGGACUGAGAUACGGCCCAGACUCCUACGGGAGGCAGCAGUGGGGAAUAUUGCACAAUGGGCGCAAGCCUGAUGCAGCGACGCCGCGUGGGGGAUGACGGCCUUCGGGUUGUAAACCCCUUUCAGCACAGACGAAGCGUAAGUGACGGUAUGUGCAGAAGAAGCACCGGCCAACUACGUG